This 722-nucleotide long non-coding RNA is filed under the name Fukomys damarensis (Damara mole-rat). RNAcentral's name for it is "lncRNA (ENSFDAG00000033203.1)". Lineage: Eukaryota; Metazoa; Chordata; Mammalia; Rodentia; Bathyergidae. The record is from RNAcentral.
GUGGGAAGAAGCUAAGACUUAGCAGUGGCUAAUGGAGAGCUGUGAUGAGGUGGGAAUUAGGAGUGGGAAUGUCAUCACACCAAAUGGGAUCCCUUGUAUUUAUGUGAACAUUUUCAAACUACUAUGCCCUUAUUUUCUCAUUUCAUUCUCCCGUGGCUGAAAACUACACUGGAUAUGACCCAGUUUCCUGGAGACCUAUAGACAAAUUUGACCCCUGUUAUUAUACAUCUUACAGGAGACCCAGGCUUGCCUGUCCAUUUUGACAGAUGGGCAUGAGGUCCUGCUGGCAGACUGGCAGACAGAGCAGACAACAGUUUUUCAUAUGUGACUGUGGGGAGGCUUCCCUCAAACCCAGUCCUGGGAAAUUCAGGCCGAACACAACUCACUCUGUCGGGUGCACAGCAUCAAGGAGCCCUUUUGGGUCUCACGAUGUUCUGAACUAGUUUUCUUCAGCCUCCUUCCCAAGCUACCCCAUGCUUUCAUUUCCUUACCUGUUUAGGAUUUCAUCUUCCCUGAAGUGUUUUAAGUUUUACAUCAACACAAAGAAAACCUGCACCCAUUUAGCCUGUGAUGGAGCUUUGAAUUACUGCACAAAAGCUAAAGUAUCCGACAAUAUGCUGACCAUCCUCCCUCUGAUGAAAAGGACAAGCUGGCCCAUCUCCCUGGAAGUUUCUUCCCUCUCCAUUUAAAUCACUCUUCCCUCUCAUUAAAUUACUCUUUCA